CUGCAGUCGAACGAUGAAGGAGGAGCUUGCUCCUCCGGAUUAGUGGCGAACGGGUGAGUAAUACGUGAGCAAUGUGCCCUUGACUCUGGGAUAAGCGCUGGAAACGGCGUCUAAUACCGGAUACGACCCUCGGAGGCAUCUCCUGUGGGUGGAAAGAACUUCGGUCAAGGAUCAGCUCACGGCCUAUCAGCUUGUUGGUGAGGUAACGGCUCACCAAGGCGACGACGGGUAGCCGGCCUGAGAGGGUGACCGGCCACACUGGGACUGAGACACGGCCCAGACUCCUACGGGAGGCAGCAGUGGGGAAUAUUGCACAAUGGGCGCAAGCCUGAUGCAGCAACGCCGCGUGAGGGACGACGGCCUUCGGGUUGUAAACCUCUUUUAGCAGGGAAGAAGCGAAAGUGACGGUACCUGCAGAAAAAGCACCGGCUAACUACGUGCCAGCAGCCGCGGUAAUACGUAGGGUGCAAGCGUUGUCCGGAAUUAUUGGGCGUAAAGAGCUCGUAGGCGGUUUGUCACGUCUGCUGUGAAAACCCGAGGCUCAACCUCGGGCUUGCAGUGGGUACGGGCAGACUAGAGUGCGGUAGGGGAGAUUGGAAUUCCUGGUGUAGCGGUGGAAUGCGCAGAUAUCAGGAGGAACACCGAUGGCGAAGGCAGAUCUCUGGGCCGUAACUGACGCUGAGGAGCGAAAGCAUGGGGAGCAAACAGGCUUAGAUACCCUGGUAGUCCAUGCCGUAAACGUUGGGAACUAGAUGUGGGGACCAUUCCACGGUCUCCGUGUCGUAGCUAACGCAUUAAGUUCCCCGCCUGGGGAGUACGGCCGCAAGGCUAAAACUCAAAGGAAUUUGACGGGGGCCCGCACAAGCGGCGGAGCAUGCGGAUUAA
Molecule: ribosomal RNA, 885 nt
Filed under: actinobacterium X14
Lineage: Bacteria; Bacillati; Actinomycetota; Actinomycetes
Description: bacterial SSU rRNA
Rfam family: Bacterial small subunit ribosomal RNA
Source: RNAcentral